Molecule: ribosomal RNA, 323 nt
Filed under: uncultured Glomeromycotina
Lineage: Eukaryota; Fungi; Glomeromycota
Description: LSU rRNA
Source: RNAcentral
UUGAAAGGGAAACGAUUGAAGUAGUGUANGAGAGAAAUAGUUUUGAAUGUGAUUUGUGGGGUAUGAGAUUUAUUGUUUGAAUAUGUAUGUUUUUUGGUGUAUUUUUGUAUGGUAGGUAAGUGGUUUUGGUGCAUAAAAUGAUGGAGGAAUGUAGUUGGUUGGUUGAAGUGUUAUAGUUUUGGUAAAUGUGGUGAUUAGGAUGAGGAUUGAAGAAUACUUUUAGGUAUUGUUGAGUUGAAAGUUAUUAGGUGUGAAAGUUGUUAAGGGUAUUUAAGUUGAGGUAAUAGGUUAGAGGGUGAUUNAUCGUUAAGGAUGUUGACGUA